GGGGAAUAUUGGACAAUGGGCGCAAGCCUGAUCCAGCCAUGCCGCGUGGGUGAAGAAGGCCUUCGGGUUGUAAAGCCCUUUUGUUGGGAAAGAAAAGCAGCCGGCCAAUACCCGGUUGUUCUGACGGUACCCAAAGAAUAAGCACCGGCUAACUUCGUUCCAGCAGCCGCGGUAAUACGAAGGGUGCAAGCGUUACUCGGAAUUACUGGGCGUAAAGCGUGCGUAGGUGGUUCGUUAAGUUGGAUGUGAAAGCCCCGGGCUCAACCUGGGAACUGCAUCAAAAACGGGCGAGCUAGAGUAUGGCAGAGGGUGGUGGAAUUUCCUGUGUAGCGGUGAAAUGCGUAGAUAUAGGAAGGAACACCAGUGGCGAAGGCGACCACCUGGGCUAAUACUGACACUGAGGUGCGAAAGCGUGGGGAGCAAACA
RNAcentral lists this ribosomal RNA (426 nucleotides) under uncultured Gammaproteobacteria bacterium. Its description in RNAcentral is "bacterial SSU rRNA". It matches the Rfam family "Bacterial small subunit ribosomal RNA", at positions 356 to 774 of the family's 1533-position model. The record is from RNAcentral. Lineage: Bacteria; Pseudomonadati; Pseudomonadota; Gammaproteobacteria.